This 217-nucleotide ribosomal RNA is filed under the name uncultured bacterium. RNAcentral describes it as "partial 16S ribosomal RNA". It matches the Rfam family "Bacterial small subunit ribosomal RNA", at positions 328 to 539 of the family's 1533-position model. The record is from RNAcentral.
ACGCUCGACACCUACGGGAGGCAGCAGUGAGGAAUAUUGGUCAAUGGACGCAAGUCUGAACCAGCCAUGCCGCGUGCAGGAUGACGGCUCUAUGAGUUGUAAACUGCUUUUGUACGAGGGUAAACGCAGAUACGUGUAUCUGUCUGAAAGUAUCGUACGAAUAAGGAUCGGCUAACUCCGUGCCACAGCCGCGGUAAUCUGAGCGGGCUGGCAAGGC